AUACGGAGGGGGCUAGCGUUGUUCGGAAUUACUGGGCGUAAAGCGUACGUAGGCGGACUGAUCAGUUGGGGGUGAAAUCCCAGGGCUUAACCCCGGAACUGCCUUCAAUACUGUCAGUCUUGAGUUUGGGAGAGGUGAGUGGAAUUCCUAGUGUAGGGGUGAAAUUCAUAGAUAUUAGGAGGAACACCAGUGGCGAAGGCGGCUCACUGGCCCAUUACUGACGCUGAGGUACGAAAGCGUGGGGAGCAAACAGGAGUAGAAACCCCAGUAGUAC
This 274-nucleotide ribosomal RNA is filed under the name uncultured bacterium. RNAcentral describes it as "partial 16S ribosomal RNA". It matches the Rfam family "Bacterial small subunit ribosomal RNA", at positions 523 to 796 of the family's 1533-position model. The record is from RNAcentral.